RNAcentral lists this small RNA (190 nucleotides) under Bacillus methanolicus MGA3. Its description in RNAcentral is "non-coding RNA with unknown function". The record is from RNAcentral. Lineage: Bacteria; Bacillati; Bacillota; Bacilli; Caryophanales; Bacillaceae.
ACGGGAAUCGAUAGUAAAAAAGUGUCUCCCUACGAAAGCUCCUUAUUGUACCGGAAUCUGUUUUUUGAAAAAAUUCGUUAGUAUUGUAAAUCCGCGUUUUUCUGGAACUCCCUCUUAUUAAAGUAACGAGUAGCGAUACUUUAAAACGGUAUCGCUUUUCUUGUUCAGUACAAACUAGAAAUUCAUAAGC